ACCAGUACCGUGAGGGAAAGGUGAAAAGCACUUCGAACAGAAGAGUGAAAUAGUCCCUGAACCCAUACGCCUACAAGCUGUCGGAGCCGCUUCGUGCGGUGACGGCGUGCCUUUUGCAUAAUGAGCCUACGAGUUACUCAUCACCAGCGAGGUUAAGUACUUCAGGUACGUAAGCCGAAGCGAAAGCGAGUCUGAAUAGGGCGUCAAGUUGGUGGUGGUAGACGCGAAACCUUAGUGAUCUACCCAUGGGCAGGGUGAAGGUUUGGUAACACAAACUGGAGGCCCGAACCGGUAAACGUUGAAAAGUUUUCGGAUGACCUGUGGGUAGGGGUGAAAGGCCAAUCAAACUGGGAAAUAGCUCGUACUCUCCGAAAUGCAUUUAGGUGCAGCCUCUGUUGUUUUGUUCUAGAGGUAGAGCUACUGAUUGGAUGCGAGGGCUUCACCGCCUAUCAAAUCCGGCCAAACUCCGAAUGCUAGAACAUGAAGACAGGGAGUGAGCCAGCGGGUGCUAAGGUCCGUUGACGAAAGAGGGAGAACUCAGACCAUCAGCUAAGGUCCCCAAUUGUAUGCUAAGUUGGAAUUAAAACGGGGUGGGACUGCUUAGACAGCUAGGAUGUUGGCUUGGAAGCAGCCAUUCAUUUAAAGAGUGCGUAACAGCUCACUAGUCGAGCGGUCCUGCAUGGAUAAUACGCGGGCAUAAGCAUAUAACCGAAGCUAUGGGAUUGUAGAUGAUACAAUCGGUAGGAGAGCAUUCCAUUCAGCGUAGAAGCAGUACCGUGAGGUAUUGUGGAGCGGAUGGAAAAGCAAAUGUAGGCAUAAGUAACGAUAAUGCGGGUGAGAACCCCGCACGCCGAAAGAUCAAGGAUUCCCCGGCAAUGUCAAUCAUCCGGGGGUAAGUCGGAUCCUAAGGGUAAGCCGAGUGGCGAUCCCGAUGGCAAACAGGUUAAUAUUCCUGUACUGAUCAUAACUGCGAUGCAGCGACGCAGAGGUGACACUGCUGCGUACUGACGGAAUAGUACGUUGAAACCCGUAUUCUUUGAUACCGGUAGUGAAGCACGCCGGUAGAGAUGAAAGGUGAUAGUACCGCAAUGCUUCGGUUGCGCGGAUAAUGCAGGUAAGCUGACUGCCAAGAAAACCUGCUAAGCUUCAGGUAAUGAUCAUCCGUACUGUAAACGGACACACGUGAUCAGGUAGAAAAUACUAAGGCGCUCGAGAGAUUCAUGGUUAAGGAACUAGGCAAAAUGGUCCUGUAACUUCGGGAUAAAGGACGCUCUUGUGAAAGAGCCGCAGAUAAUAGGCCCAGGCGACUGUUUACCAAAAACACAUGGCUAUGCUAAUUCGCAAGAAGAUGUAUAUGGCCUGACACCUGCCCGGUGCCGGAAGGUUAAGAGGAGAGCUCAGAUGUAAGUCGAAGGUUUGAAUUGAAGCCCCGGUAAACGGCGGCCGUAACUAUAACGGUCCUAAGGUAGCGAAAUUCCUUGUCGGGU
This 1487-nucleotide ribosomal RNA is filed under the name human metagenome. RNAcentral describes it as "bacterial LSU rRNA". It matches the Rfam family "Bacterial large subunit ribosomal RNA", at positions 494 to 1977 of the family's 2925-position model. The record is from RNAcentral.